UGCGGCGGCGGCGGUCCAAGUCCCUUGGAACAGGGCGCCAUUGAGGGUGAGAGCCCCGUGGGACCGUUUGCCUAUGCUCUGMGGCCCUUCUGWCGAGUCSAGUUGUUUKGGAAUGCAGCUMUAAGCGGGUGGUAAAUUCCAUCUAAGGCUAAAUACUGGCGAGAGACCGAUAGCGAACAAGUACUGUGAAGGAAAGAUGAAAAGCACUUUGAAAAGAGAGUGAAACAGCACGUGAAAUUGUUGAAAGGGAAGGGUAUUGCGCCCGACAUGGAGCGUGCGCACCGCUGCCCCUCGUGGGCGGCGCUCUGGGCGUGCUCUGGGCCAGCAUCGGUUUUUGCCGCGGGAGAAGGGCGGCGGGCAUGUAGCUCUUCGGAGUGUUAUAGCCUGCCGCCGGCGCCGCGAGCGGGGACCGAGGACUGCGACUUUUGUCUCGGAUGCUG
This 440-nucleotide ribosomal RNA is filed under the name Pichia fermentans. RNAcentral's name for it is "eukaryotic LSU rRNA". It matches the Rfam family "Eukaryotic large subunit ribosomal RNA", at positions 166 to 628 of the family's 3401-position model. The record is from RNAcentral. Lineage: Eukaryota; Fungi; Ascomycota; Pichiomycetes; Pichiales; Pichiaceae.